CUCUCCGACUCUCCAUGUCUUCCCAUCUUCUCAUGAAAGCUUUUCUUCUCAUUAUCUUCUAUAGCUUUCUCCCAUGGUUUAACCUGACUCACUGAUGACAAGACCAGCACGAAACUGUUGACUGGAGCAGCCACAACAACAAAUUUGUUGAACUCAAGAUCCGACUCAAGAUCUCACACGCCGAACCACCUCUCUCGCUGGAUCAGUCCUCUCGCCGCCACGCAAGAUCUCUCUCUCUCCCGUGCCUCUCUCUCUCUGUCUCUCUCGCCGGACCUCUCUCUCGCUGGACCUCUCUCUCUCGCCGUCAUUUCCGUAAUUAGGUAGUUCUUGGAUAUGAACAUGGUGUUCUUCGGAACACUAAUCCAAGAUAUGUAUGCCAGAGAGAGUUUGCGUUGAAGAAUUUGCCUGAUGACCCUCUUUUCCAGCUGAUAUUUUUGUUUUUCUUUCUUUCUUUUGCUUUCUUAUAUAAACUCUUGCAUUGUGGGCAGUGGUUAACAGAACCUUCAUCUCUAUAGGUUUCAAAGCUUUAUGAAGUUGUGCCUCCUGUUCUCACCAAACUCAGAAAGGUACUACACGGUGCUCUUUGGUGUCUAAAUGAGUCUUGCUAUCUGCUCUCAGAUAAUAUGGGACAGAGCUCUUGGACUUGGACUUGAGAGGCCAAAGUGUGUUACAAUGGAUUGGCUUGAAGUACUGUAAGAAAGCUUCAUCUGCUUAUAUUGACAGAGGAGUUGCUCGACCUUGUAAUGAUUGUAAUAUUGUUGUAUGUUCUAUGCAAUAAAGAACUCCCAAGUAGCGUUUGUUUUUCUUCAAGAUUAUACUUCCUAACAGAAUGUAUAUUCGGAUUUAAAGACAUAAAAUGAGAUCAAAUAUCAAUCAAAAUUUUUGAGUUUUCUCCAAA
Brassica napus (rape) is the source of this 898-nucleotide long non-coding RNA. RefSeq lists it as uncharacterized. The transcript has 4 exons. NCBI's taxonomy places the organism in Eukaryota, Viridiplantae, Streptophyta, Magnoliopsida, Brassicales, Brassicaceae. The record is from RefSeq and is a predicted model, not a curated record.